AAUGAACGCUGGCGGCAUGCCUAACACAUGCAAGUCGAACGAGACCAUCGGGUCUAGUGGCGCCAGGGUGCGUAACGCGUGGGAACCUGCCCUCAGGUUCGGAAUAACCCCCCGAAAGGGGUGCUAAUACCGGAUAAUGUCUUCUGACCAAAGAUUUAUCGCUCUUGGAUGGGCCCGCGUUGGAUUAGCUAGUUGGUAGGGUAAAAGCCUACCAAGGCGACGAUCCAUAGCUGGUCUGAGAGGAUGAUCAGCCACUCUGGGACUGAGACACGGCCCAGACUCCUACGCAAGGCAGCAGUGCGGAAUAUUGGACAAUGGGGGAAGGCCUGAUCCAGCAAUGCCGCGUGAGUGAUGAAGGCCUUAGGGUUGUAAAGCUCUUUUACCCGGGAUGAUAAUGACAGUACCGGAUGAAUAAGCUCCGGCUAACUCCGUG
This 433-nucleotide ribosomal RNA is filed under the name uncultured bacterium. RNAcentral describes it as "partial 16S ribosomal RNA". It matches the Rfam family "Bacterial small subunit ribosomal RNA", at positions 29 to 507 of the family's 1533-position model. The record is from RNAcentral.